GAUGAACGCUAGCGGUAGGCUUAACACAUGCAAGUCGAGGGGCAGCAUGGUCUUAGCUUGCUAAGACUGAUGGCGACCGGCGCACGGGUGCGUAACGCGUAUGCAACUUGCCUCACAGAGGGGGAUAACCCGUCGAAAGACGGACUAAUACCGCGUACACUUGGGAUAGGGCAUCCUGACCCAAGGAAAUGAAAUUCGCUGUGAGAUAGGCAUGCGUCCCAUUAGCUAGUUGGUGAGGUAACGGCUCACCAAGGCGACGAUGGGUAGGGGAACUGAGAGGUUGAACCCCCACACUGGUACUGAGACACGGACCAGACUCCUACGGGAGGCAGCAGUGAGGAAUAUUGGUCAAUGGGCGAGAGCCUGAGCCAGCCAAGUCGCGUGAAGGAUGACUGUCUUAUGGAUUGUAAACUUCUUUUAUACGGGAAUAACAAGAGUCACGUGUGGCUCCCUGCAUGUACCGUAUGAAUAAGCAUCGGCUAACUCCGU
RNAcentral lists this ribosomal RNA (489 nucleotides) under uncultured bacterium. RNAcentral describes it as "partial 16S ribosomal RNA". It matches the Rfam family "Bacterial small subunit ribosomal RNA", at positions 28 to 506 of the family's 1533-position model. The record is from RNAcentral.